GAUGAACGCUGGCGGCGUGCCUAAUACAUGCAAGUCGAGCGAACGGACGAGAAGCUUGCUUCUCUGAUGUUAGCGGCGGACGGGUGAGUAACACGUGGAUAACCUACCUAUAAGACUGGGAUAACUUCGGGAAACCGGAGCUAAUACCGGAUAAUAUUUUGAACCGCAUGGUUCAAAAGUGAAAGACGGUCUUGCUGUCACUUAUAGAUGGAUCCGCGCUGCAUUAGCUAGUUGGUAAGGUAACGGCUUACCAAGGCAACGAUGCAUAGCCGACCUGAGAGGGUGAUCGGCCACACUGGAACUGAGGCACGGUCCAGACUCCUACGGGAGGCAGCAGUAGGGAAUCUUCCGCAAUGGGCGAAAGCCUGACGGAGCAACGCCGCGUGAGUGAUGGAGGUCUUCGGAUCGUAAAACUCUGUUAUUAGGGAAGAACAUAUGUGUAAGUAACUGUGCACAUCUUGACGGUACCUAAUCAGAAAGCCACGGCUAACUACGUGCCAGCAGCCGCGGUAAUACGUAGGUGGCAAGCGUUAUCCGGAAUUAUUGGGCGUAAAGCGCGCGUAGGCGGUUUUUUAAGUCUGAUGUGAAAGCCCACGGCUCAACCGUGGAGGGUCAUUGGAAACUGGAAAACUUGAGUGCAGAAGAGGAAAGUGGAAUUCCAUGUGUAGCGGUGAAAUGCGCAGAGAUAUGGAGGAACACCAGUGGCGAAGGCGACUUUCUGGUCUGUAACUGACGCUGAUGUGCGAAAGCGUGGGGAUCAAACAGGAUUAGAUACCCUGGUAGUCCACGCCGUAAACGAUGAGUGCUAAGUGUUAGGGGGUUUCCGCCCCUUAGUGCUGCAGCUAACGCAUUAAGCACUCCGCCUGGGGAGUACGACCGCAAGGUUGAAACUCAAAGGAAUUGACGGGGACCCGCACAAGCGGUGGAGCAUGUGGUUUAAUUCGAAGCAACGCGAAGAACCUUACCAAAUCUUGACAUCCUUUGACAACUCUAGAGAUAGAGCCUUCCCCUUCGGGGGACAAAGUGACAGGUGGUGCAUGGUUGUCGUCAGCUCGUGUCGUGAGAUGUUGGGUUAAGUCCCGCAACGAGCGCAACCCUUAAGCUUAGUUGCCAUCAUUAAGUUGGGCACUCUAAGUUGACUGCCGGUGACAAACCGGAGGAAGGUGGGGAUGACGUCAAAUCAUCAUGCCCCUUAUGAUUUGGGCUACACACGUGCUACAAUGGACAAUACAAAGGGCAGCGAAACCGCGAGGUCAAGCAAAUCCCAUAAAGUUGUUCUCAGUUCGGAUUGUAGUCUGCAACUCGACUACAUGAAGCUGGAAUCGCUAGUAAUCGUAGAUCAGCAUGCUACGGUGAAUACGUUCCCGGGUCU
This 1372-nucleotide ribosomal RNA is filed under the name uncultured bacterium. RNAcentral describes it as "bacterial SSU rRNA". It matches the Rfam family "Bacterial small subunit ribosomal RNA", at positions 28 to 1381 of the family's 1533-position model. The record is from RNAcentral.